AACACUGGAAUCCAGUUCCUCCAUACUCCAACAGGUUUAGGUAUACACAUUGGCCGCAGACCUCUCUCCAUGAUUUGUGCGCCUGCUGAAUCAGUUCUGUUAUCUGUUGAAUACGGGGAUGUCUGCUGUUCGUGCGUCUCUCUCUCUUUUUGUUUUUAUUUUUUUUCCCCCAGGUGAUUAGUUUUACUGGGCGCCUAUUCCGACCGGGAUUGGCUUAUAGCCUGCAAUAGUGACUAUAAGCUCGUUGUAUCACAUCUCUCUUAACUGCGAUCUUUGUCCAAUCCCUCGAAAACCCGUCAUUGAUUGUUCAAGCUCGCGACAUACUUGGCUGCAUUGAUCACCAAGGCCUUAAAGAAGUGCCAACAUUGGCAGCUCAGCUUUGGUCACUUAUGCCAAUGUGUUCAGCAUAUUGGUCGGAUUCUCAAGUUCAUCUUGAAGCCCAGUUAUGCAAAGUUUAUUGUGAUCCUUGAAAUGAUUUCAGAGAGCAACUUCACUGCCCGCACAGCAGUAGUAAUAACAGUCAGGGCUGAGACAGUAAUACUUAGAGGAUCCACCACUUCAAAACUUGCUGUUGAGAUCUCAGCAAUCUCUCCUGAUAAAAUUGGCAC
Molecule: small RNA, 608 nt
Filed under: Histoplasma capsulatum
Lineage: Eukaryota; Fungi; Ascomycota; Eurotiomycetes; Onygenales; Ajellomycetaceae
Also listed under: 1 other name
Description: hypothetical RNA
Source: RNAcentral